GUUGGUGAAAGUAGAGAUACUUUCUGAAAAUGGAAUCAGGUGAAAAACCUGAGCUGUCCCGCAGCCGUAAAAGGGAGUUGAGGCAAUAUGUCACUGGGAAACUGGGAAGACGCUAAAACGAAGAACUUGAGCCGGAAUACAUGCCAACAUCUU
Molecule: non-coding RNA, 153 nt
Filed under: uncultured Longibaculum sp.
Lineage: Bacteria; Bacillati; Bacillota; Erysipelotrichia; Erysipelotrichales; Coprobacillaceae
Source: RNAcentral